GUCAAAAUGAAUGGAGGUAAACAAAUAAAUUUGUUAAAAAAAUUUAAUUGAAGAAGUGCGGAAAUGUAAUUUCUUAUAUGACAAAGAACACCUGACUACAGAAACCUUAGUGUCCUCAGUAUGCUACGAAACGGUGCUUGAGCGCUAAAAUUAAACUGUGAUGAACUGUAACAAUGAGGUGGCGCAGCUUCACAGACGGCUAUAGGCGCCACAAACAACAAUUGCUGCGAACAUCAGAUAUGUCGACCCUUCGUAUUUAUAAAAAUGCUACCCAGCUACAGCAUUUUUUGCGUACUUCUUUGAGUCAAAGCGGUUAAAACUGAAUACUCAUAGAGUUAAGAUAAAAUGCAGUGUGAAAACGUAUAGACACAAAUUGUGUUCGUAUAAGUAGCAGGUUUCCCAAUAAUUUUAAUAUAUCUUCUUAAUUUAUUGUGAUUGGGUGCACUUGAAGGAUGUUGAGAAGAUCUCGAUCCCGGGCGAAAUAUAUCCUAACAUCUAAGAGCAGAUACUCUUUUGUUUAAAUAACCUUGGCAGUAUUGUAUACCAAGAAGUUGGAGAAGUGUUUCCCAAAUAGUCUGUAUCCGUAGUUCACACAAUGACGGAAAACUCUUCUUUCGAAUGUCCAGAUUAGUUUCAACUGAUGGGUGCUAAUUUCUGGCUAUAUGGCACAGGUGACGGAAAGAGGAAGCGAAUGAUUUGUUUAUAGCAUCAUAGUAAAAGAGGAAGUCUCUCUUUUAUUAUCUAACUGAUAUAUGAUUUGUUACAUUUAAUACACUUUUAA
This is a long non-coding RNA of Teleopsis dalmanni, 781 nucleotides long. RefSeq lists it as uncharacterized. Lineage: Eukaryota; Metazoa; Arthropoda; Insecta; Diptera; Diopsidae. The transcript is spliced from 3 exons. The record is from RefSeq and is a predicted model, not a curated record.